Temnothorax curvispinosus is the source of this 1940-nucleotide RNA transcript. It is a transcript of the gene named CDC42 small effector protein homolog, with no coding region annotated. The record is from RefSeq and is a predicted model, not a curated record. Lineage: Eukaryota; Metazoa; Arthropoda; Insecta; Hymenoptera; Formicidae. The transcript is spliced from 3 exons.
CAUCUUAAAGAAUAAUUUUAUAAAAUCUGGUAGUUGUCGGGCACGUGAGAAAGUUUGUUCUUCGCAGCUGAAAGAUCUUUUGUAUAAAAUAUUUAAAUGCAGUAUAUAGUAGAUGAAUUUUGCACUGUUCAUUUCUCCUCCUUUUCUCCCCAACACCUAGUCAUAUUAUACUAUUCCAUUUUAAGUGCAGAAACUGCAGAAAGUAUAAUAACGUAUUUAGUGCAGCAUAAAGAAAGAACGGAUGUGUGUAAAGUAAAAGGAACCGUGGCGAAUCGCGAAGCGAUCGUGUGAAACGGGUUGCGCGUUGCGACUUGCGCCGGCCCGGCCGGGCCGCGCGAAUGACAGCGCACAGCGCUCGUGUCAGGUUGAACGUUGAACGUUGAACGAACGUCGCGUCCGCGAAUGCGGAGCCCGAAGACCGAAGCGACCGAGCCUUUGUUUCUAUCGUCGCUGCGGGCUGCGGCUGCGUCCUGCGUGUCCUCGUCGUCCUCCGGUGUUUGCGCUCGCAAGGAACUAGUGAACGAUGACCUUCGCAGCCACGAGUCGCGCGUUCCACGGAAAUGUUUGUUUUGCUCGGCUCGUCGCCCUCGUCAGCCGAUGAAACGAGAAACUGGAACUGGAUGAGACCGGCGCGACCAAGGACUGAAGACGAUCGUGACUCGUGAGCUCGUGACUCUCACCACCGUGCAUCGUCCGCGGACCUAACCUCUGUCGCCCCGAGGUUUUACCCAGAUUAACCUGAAACCUGAAACGCUACGAACCCGCUCAUCUCGCUCGCGAGGCAGAGCCGUUGUGAACGUCGAGGACCGUCGUUCAUCGAGCUGCUCGACUCUAGAACCCCAAGGAAAGGAACGACGAACGACCCACGUCCCACGACGAUACGCGAGGAUACGUGCCGCAGGAGAGAUGGCCGGAAACAACGAGCUCUGGGUGCAGUGUUUCACGUGCUGCCUGACUCCGCGGGCGACGAGGAACAACAGGCGAAACGGGGCCGGCGGUAGGCCGCAUCAGAGGCUCAGGAUAGACCGGAGCAUGAUUGGCGUGCCCACGAACUUCAGGCACACGGCGCACAUCAGCAGCGGCGACCUCGACAUGUCGAUCGCGCAGCUGGCCGACCUCCAGGCGCAAAUGCAGAGGAAGAGUGGUUUCGACGGCGACUUUGGCGCCAAGACCUGCUGAGGAUAGCUUCAUCGAUGUCGCAGCUGGGUAUUUAACACGACGGAGACGGAGCGAGAGCUUUACGAUAUGGCGGAAGGAGGACAAGAAGAAAGGAGCUCGCGUGAGAUAAAAAUGAAAUGUGGAUGACUCAAUGACUGAUAAUCCGUGAGAAGAGACACGAGAGAAGAAUUUAGAAACAAAUAUUUGUAUAGAAUAGAGGAAGAAGGGAAGGAAUUUUCUGAAGGCAGGCGACAAGACGACAACGCACGCGUCGGCUUCGAAAUGUCCGAUUGUCCGAUUGUCAUUAUAUAUUAUAAUUAUUCUUAAAAACUGGUCGGUUAUUCCGCUGCGUCCGCGAUAGGAUUGAGACAGAGAUAAUGUAACCACAUGGGUGAUAUAUAUUAAACUCCGCAAUAAAGUUGUCCACUCGCUUUUAGUGCGCAUAUAUGUAUAUCGUACUGUUAUCCGCGGAUACGCGGAACACGGUUCUGCGUCUUUCAACCGACAUGGCAUGCGACUUGCUCGGCUUCCACGCGCCGCACGCGUAUAAGUCCCAUGCAUCGAGUAAACCUGGAGUAAAACUGGAGUAAACAUCCAGUGAGUAUAACGAUGUAAGAAUUCUCGGAGAAAGGCAAAUAGAAAUGUAUGCGAAUAAAUAGUUCGUCCAAGUACAAGUAGAGUAGAUGAAUGGUCGGCGGGCUAAUUUCCUAUAAAGGGCUAAAUCCAGGAUUAAUUUUGAAUGCAAUCGCAAGGUUGCAGUCGUAUUUGCAUGGUGACCCUGA